CAGUAGCCGCGGGAACACGAAGGGUGCAAGCGUUAAUCGGAAUUACUGGGCGUAAAGCGUGCGUAGGCGGUUUGUUAAGUCUGUUGUGAGAUCCCCGGGCUCAACCUGGGAAUGGCAAUGGAUACUGGCAAGCUAGAGUGCGUCAGAGGAUGGUGGAAUUCCCGGUGUAGCGGUGAAAUGCGUAGAGAUCGGGAGGAACAUCAGUGGCGAAGGCGGCCAUCUGGGACAACACUGACGCUGAGGCACGAAAGCGUGGGGAGCAAACAGGAUUAGAUACCCCUGUAGUCCCUGUCUCUUAUAA
This 301-nucleotide ribosomal RNA is filed under the name uncultured bacterium. RNAcentral's name for it is "partial 16S ribosomal RNA". It matches the Rfam family "Bacterial small subunit ribosomal RNA", at positions 509 to 809 of the family's 1533-position model. The record is from RNAcentral.